GACGAACGCUGGCGGCGUGCUUAACACAUGCAAGUCGAACGAUGAAGCGGUGCUUGCACCGUGGAUUAGUGGCGAACGGGUGAGUAAUACGUGAGUGACCUACCUUUGACUCUGGGAUAAGCCUGGGAAACUGGGUCUAAUACCGGAUACGGCCAAUCUCUGCAUGGGGUGUUGGUGGAAAGCGUUAUGGAGUGGUUUUAGAUGGGCUCACGGCCUAUCAGCUUGUUGGUGAGGUAAUGGCUUACCAAGGCGACGACGGGUAGCCGGCCUGAGAGGGUGACCGGCCACACUGGGACUGAGACACGGCCCAGACUCCUACGGGAGGCAGCAGUGGGGAAUAUUGCACAAUGGGCGCAAGCCUGAUGCAGCGACGCCGCGUGAGGGAUGACGGCCUUCGGGUUGUAAACCUCUGUUAGCAUCGAAGAAGCGAAAGUGACGGUAGGUGCAGAGAAAGCGCCGGCUAACUACGUG
This 471-nucleotide ribosomal RNA is filed under the name uncultured bacterium. RNAcentral describes it as "partial 16S ribosomal RNA". It matches the Rfam family "Bacterial small subunit ribosomal RNA", at positions 28 to 507 of the family's 1533-position model. The record is from RNAcentral.